Molecule: ribosomal RNA, 440 nt
Filed under: uncultured bacterium
Lineage: Bacteria
Description: partial 16S ribosomal RNA
Rfam family: Bacterial small subunit ribosomal RNA
Source: RNAcentral
CCUACGGGAGGCAGCAGUGGGGGAUAUUGCACAAUGGGGGAAACCCUGAUGCAGCGACGCCGCGUGUGGGAAGACGGUCCUCUGGAUUGUAAACCACUGUCCCCAGGGACGAAGAUGACGGUACCUGGGGAGGAAGCUCCGGCUAACUACGUGCCAGCAGCCGCGGUAAUACGUAGGGAGCGAGCGUUGUCCGGAAUUACUGGGUGUAAAGGGAGCGUAGGCGGGACUGCAAGUUGGGUGUCAAAUCUACCGGCUCAACCGGUAGCCGCACUCAAAACUGUAGUUCUUGAGUGAAGUAGAGGCAGGCGGAAUUCCUGGUGUAGCGGUGAAAUGCGUAGAUAUCAAGAGGAACACCGGUGGCGAAGGCGGCCUGCUGGACUGCAACUGACGUUGAGGCCCGAAAGCGUGGGGAGCAAACAGGAUUAGAUACCCUUGUAGUC